This 97-nucleotide transfer RNA is filed under the name Russula emetica. Its description in RNAcentral is "tRNA-Leu". It matches the Rfam family "tRNA". From Rfam's summary of the family: Transfer RNA (tRNA) molecules are approximately 80 nucleotides in length. Their secondary structure includes four short double-helical elements and three loops (D, anti-codon, and T loops). Further hydrogen bonds mediate the characteristic L-shaped molecular structure. tRNAs have two regions of fundamental functional importance: the anti-codon, which is responsible for specific mRNA codon recognition, and the 3' end, to which the tRNAs corresponding amino acid is attached (by aminoacyl-tRNA synthetases). tRNAs cope with the degeneracy of the genetic code in two manners: having more than one tRNA (with a specific anti-codon) for a particular amino acid; and 'wobble' base-pairing, i.e. permitting non-standard base-pairing at the 3rd anti-codon position. Lineage: Eukaryota; Fungi; Basidiomycota; Agaricomycetes; Russulales; Russulaceae. RNAcentral also lists the same sequence under 1 other name. The record is from RNAcentral.
GGUAGCGUGGCCGAGUGGUCUAAGGCGCUGGAUUUAAGUAUCUUUACUUGACUCCCAGUGGGGAAAACCCGCGCGAGUUCGAACCUCGCCGCUACCA